GACGAACGCUGGCGGCGUGCUUAACACAUGCAAGUCGAACGGAAAGGCCCUGCUUUUGUGGGGUGCUCGAGUGGCGAACGGGUGAGUAACACGUGAGUAACCUGCCCUUGACUUUGGGAUAACUUCAGGAAACUGGGGCUAAUACCGGAUAGGAGCUCCUGCUGCAUGGUGGGGGUUGGAAAGUUUCGGCGGUUGGGGAUGGACUCGCGGCUUAUCAGCUUGUUGGUGGGGUAGUGGCUUACCAAGGCUUUGACGGGUAGCCGGCCUGAGAGGGUGACCGGCCAAAGUGGGAACGGGGAGCGGGCCAGACGCCUACGGGAGGGAGGAGUUGGGAAAUAUGCACCAAGGGCGGGAGGCUGAAUGAGGAACGGCGGGGUCGGGAUGAAGGCCUUUCGGGUGGAAACCGGUUUUGGCUUGGGCGAAGGGGUGGUGAAGGUAAUGGGUAAAGAAGCACCGGCUAACUACGUG
This 468-nucleotide ribosomal RNA is filed under the name uncultured bacterium. RNAcentral's name for it is "partial 16S ribosomal RNA". It matches the Rfam family "Bacterial small subunit ribosomal RNA", at positions 28 to 507 of the family's 1533-position model. The record is from RNAcentral.